Oncorhynchus tshawytscha (Chinook salmon) is the source of this 1843-nucleotide long non-coding RNA. Lineage: Eukaryota; Metazoa; Chordata; Actinopteri; Salmoniformes; Salmonidae. The record is from Ensembl.
UCUAAUAUGGGUUUGUUUUAUUUCUCUACAUGCAAUGAAGGAUGUCACAUCUUUGAACUUGCUAUGUUAUUUAGACAUCGGUUGGUAUCUACUAUAGUACGUAUGCUUACGCAAAUGUAUUUGUUCAAAAAAAAGCUGUAAUUUGGUAAUAGUCUUUUUUUAACAUCCAGGUUCAUCCUCUGGACGAAGGAGGUUGUCACCCACAGAUUAAGGUCCAUGCAUAACUUGUCCUCUGGAGGAAGGAGGUUGUCACCCACAGAUUAAGGUCCAUGCAUAAUUUGUCCUCUGGACGAAGGAGGUUGUCAACCACAGAUUAAGGUCCAUGCAUAAAUUGUCCUCUGGACUAAGGAGGUUUUCAACCACAGAUUAAAGGCAGAAGUCAUUCUGUGGACUAAGGAGGUUUUCCACCACAGAUUAAAGGCAGAAGUCAUUCUGUGGAUGAAGGAGAUUGUCAACCACAGAUUAAAGGCAGAAGUCAUUCUGUGGACUAAAUGAGGUUUUCAACCACAGAUUAAAGGCAGAAGUCAUUCUGUGGACUAAGGAGGUUUUCAACCACAGAUUAAAGGCAGAAGUCAUUCUGUGGACUAAGGAGGUUUUCAACCACAGAUUAAAGGCAGAAGUCAUUCUGUGGACUAAAGGAGGUUUUCAACCACAGAUUAAAGGCAGAAGUCAUUCUGUGGACUAAGGAGGUUUUCAACCACAGAUUAAAGGCAGAAGUCAUUCUGUGGAUGAAGGAGGUUGUCAACCACUUGUGGUGGUGCUGUACGAGGAGUUUAUUUAUUUAUUAUCAGUCAUAUUUAUCUUGUCUUAUUUAUUACUCUUGUAUUAUGCUUAGCUGUGAGCUAGCACUCAUCCCUGAGUUGCUGAAAUACUUUCUGCAAUAGGCAAAGUGGGGAAUGCAUGCAUUGCGAUUGUAUGUGUCAGGACCUGUGGAGGGGUGUUACUCACCAUGUGGGGAAUGAACACACAUGGACAACUGGGACAUUGUGAUCUUCCUGGGGGACAAACACACCAAGGAAUGGAUCACAAAGGGCUCUCACAGACAUCGUCCUCAACACACGGUGCCUGACACAGACAUCGUCCUCAACACACGGUGCCGGAAGAAGCUUCGUAAAUACCUCAACUUCAGGAGGGUUACGUAUUUUCUCAAGAAUCCUUCCCCCUAUUUAGCAUUUAGAAUCCUUCCCCCUAUUUAGCAUUUAGAAUCCUUCCCCCUAUUUAGCAUUUAGAAUCCUUCCCCCUAUUUACAAUUAGAAUCCUUCCCCCUAUUCAAAUCAAAUGUAUUUAUAUAGCCCUUCGUACAUCAGCUGAUAUCUCAAAGUGCUGUACAGAAACCCAGCCUAAAACCCCAAACAGCAAGCAAUGCAGGUGUAGAAGCACGGUGGCUAGGAAAAACUCCCUAGAAAGGCCAAAACCUAGGAAGAAACCUAGAGAGGAACCAGGCUAUGUGGGGUGGCCAGUCCUCUUCUGGCUGUGCCGGGUGGAGAUUAUAACAGAACAUGACCAAGAUGUUCAAAUGUUCAUAAAUGACCAGCAUGGUCGUAUAAUAAUAAGGCAGAACAGUUGAAACUGGAGCAGCAGCACGGUCAGGUGGACUGGGGACAGCAAGGAGUCAUCAUGUCCGGUAGUCCUGGGGCAUGGUCCUAUGGCUCAGGUCCUCCGAGAGAGAGAAAGAAAGAGAUAAUUAGAGAGAGCAUAUGUGGGGUGGCCAGUCCUCCUCUGGCUGUGCCGGGUGGAGAUUAUAACAGAACAUGACCAAGAUGUUCAAAUGUUCAUAAAUGACCAGCAUGGUCGUAUAAUAAUAAGGCAGAACAGUUGAAACUGGAGCAGCAGCACGGUCAGG